GGGGGUGUAUUAGCUUCGACAGCUGGAACAUUAAAAACAUACUGCAAGUAAGAGAGUCAACCGCUUUAAAGAGUUGGCAAAUUUUAAGUGCAAACUCACUUAAAGAAAAAGUAGCAUCUCUUUUCAGAGUGCCUGCUUUUUCACCUGUUGUAGCCUAAUCGUUACAACCAUCCGCCCUUCCGCUACUCGACGGGAGAGCUCGGGUGCAAUAUUUCGAGUUGCAUCAUCUUCGGUUCUCUGCGAAGGUGCCUAAGCAAAACAUGAGAUAGGACAGGCGAUUUUUUGUUCCGGCUCUACCGUUUGUCCAAAACACUAGCCGGAUCUAAGCUUGUAGAAUGUAUGUUUUUAACCAGUUGGACGCGGGUGCAACUCCCGCCACCUCCACCA
RNAcentral lists this transfer-messenger RNA (387 nucleotides) under Patescibacteria group. Its description in RNAcentral is "XYA2-FULL-43-10 sp001776195 Standard tmRNA". It matches the Rfam family "transfer-messenger RNA". Rfam says of the family: Bacterial tmRNA, also known as 10Sa RNA or SsrA, is named for its dual tRNA and mRNA-like properties. Its role is to liberate the mRNA from a stalled ribosome. To accomplish this part of the tmRNA is used as a reading frame that ends in a translation stop signal. RNAcentral also lists the same sequence under 1 other name. The record is from RNAcentral.